AGAGUGAGUAGAACCUGUAAGUAUGAUGGAAUAUCACACUUGUGAUUAGGUUACUAACCAGUUGACUUAGAAUUAAUCAAAAGGAAGAUUAUCCUGGAUGGACCUGAUUUAAUCAAGUGGAAGAAAGUGAAGUGUCAGAGAAGAGAGCCCUGCUGGCAUAAGGAAAGCAAACAGCCAUGUUGUAAACUGCCUGUGGAGCUUAGAAGGCCCAGCUUCCUUGUUACUUGGGCAUCUUCACAAGUCUGUGUCAAGACACGACAUCUGGCUUCUCCCAUGAGAGCGAUUUAAGAGAAUGAGAGAGAUUUAAGAGAAUGAGAGAGAGUGAGAGCCAAGAUGGAAGUGACAGUCCUUUUAUGACCUAAUAUCAGAAUAGCAUCUCAUUACUUCUGCCAUAUUUAAUUUGUUAGAAGUGAAUCAGUAAGUCCAGCCUUCACUCGAAAGAAG
This 444-nucleotide long non-coding RNA is filed under the name Equus caballus (horse). Its description in RNAcentral is "lncRNA (ENSECAG00000047786.1)". The record is from RNAcentral. Lineage: Eukaryota; Metazoa; Chordata; Mammalia; Perissodactyla; Equidae.